This 123-nucleotide small RNA is filed under the name Marmota monax (woodchuck). The record is from RNAcentral. Lineage: Eukaryota; Metazoa; Chordata; Mammalia; Rodentia; Sciuridae.
GCCAGGUGUGGUGGCACACCUGUAAUCCCAGCAGCUUGGGAGGCUGAAGCAGGAGGAUCUUGAGUUCAAAGCCAGCCUCAGCAAAAGCAAGGUGCUAAGCAAUUCAGUGAGACCCUGUCUCUA